Oncorhynchus tshawytscha (Chinook salmon) is the source of this 1398-nucleotide long non-coding RNA. RefSeq lists it as uncharacterized. The record is from RefSeq and is a predicted model, not a curated record. The transcript is spliced from 3 exons. Lineage: Eukaryota; Metazoa; Chordata; Actinopteri; Salmoniformes; Salmonidae.
CAGCCACAAUUAGUGAAAUGUAUACAUUCCUGGUGACAGUAAAGAAGAACUCCCUAAGAGAAUACUGGAGCAGAGAUCCUAUGUUUGCAACUCCCUUCUUUGCCACCAUCUAUUCCCAAGACUGCUUUCUAAUUCUGCUGCUAUGACUGCAUUUCAUCAACAACGCUACUGCCAUCCUAAAUGACCCAUUAUACAAACAAAAAAAAUGUUAACAGCUGGCAGUAAAGUGCCAUGACAAACAAGACGUCCAUGUCCUCUCCACUGUCCAUACAGCAACCAUGUCGGCCACAGGGAAGGUGGACCACGUGACGGGAGAGAGAAACAAACCAGACAGGGAAACAUCAAACCAGACUGCGUGCUUGACUAUAACUUCAAAAUGGGGGCAGAAAAUGACCCAGUGGUAUAAGAUAUUUUUCCAGGGUAGUCAAAAUACAACAUGCCAAUACUUCUGACGCAUUUAGCAUGGUUUUGCAGAGCUAAUAGAAGAAUGUAACUAGCUACAUAAGUGUAGUAGAGUUAAAUUGGUUAUUCCAUCAAACUUCAAAUUAUUAGAAUAGUACACAACGCAGAACAGAACAACCAGGUUGAGGGUCAGUGGCCAAAGCCCGCGAACAGGAAUAUUCCAAGUUCAGACAGAGGGGGGAGGCAGAUCGCUAUGAUCGCCAGGAACUUUAGUUUUAGUGUCUUUUUUAAUUGUUGCGCUACUGGUGCUGCCUGUUGAUGUUAGGUAGGCAGCUACAGUAGCUGAAUGAUGUUAACAUCUUCGGGUUUUGUUUCAUUAAAUUUAUUUUAUUUCAUCUGGGUGCUUGUGUCACCUACUAACACCCUGGUACUACCCGUAGCUCCCGUUCUCCUCAGUCGGAGAAAACACAGAGAGAAAGAACAACUUGUCAGAUGGUGCAUUGGAGACUGAUGUGUUCCUGUCCUGUCUUUUCACAAUACUAUUGCAGGUAUGGUUCUAUUGUCUAGGAAUUAAGAUUAUACAUGCUCUGUAUUAAGGACUGGUUAUUAUUUUAUAGUAUACAUUAUUGCUUUAUGUAUGAGUGUGAUCGUGUGAGUCUGAGAAAACACUGAGAGAGAAAGAACAACUUGUCAGAUGGUGCAUUGGAGACUGAUGUGUUCCUGUCCUGUCUUUUCACAAUACUAUUGCAGAUCAACAUAAAAGCCUAAAAGACAGCCGUGGUAUCGCUCUUCAUUUCUUGGUUCUCCUGUGGUACAUAAGAAACCCGCUACAUAAGCACGAUUGAAUAUAACACCAUAAAAGAUGUAGCCUGGCAAAAGCAACUGACAUGGGCUGCACGUCAUCCAGGCUACCCAUUAGAGGACCCAGAGGACUUGCAGGUGACCAAGCGUUUCCAGGCCUUCUGGACUCUCCAGAAGAAGUCCCGGAUGCCUUUC